RNAcentral lists this microRNA precursor (93 nucleotides) under Canis lupus familiaris (dog). RNAcentral describes it as "mir-8799 microRNA precursor family". It matches the Rfam family "mir-8799 microRNA precursor family". The record is from Rfam by way of RNAcentral. Lineage: Eukaryota; Metazoa; Chordata; Mammalia; Carnivora; Canidae. RNAcentral also lists the same sequence under 1 other name.
GGGAGGAGUGCCGGAUCUUGGGCUGUGUCCCCCAGUGCCCUGGGCUCUGGGGCCUGCACUGCUGGAAUCACGCUUCGGGCAGCGCAGCCCCCU